UUCCUGGGCCCUUAAGAAGUAAAGUCGUAACAAGGUUUCCGUAGGUGAACCUGCGGRAGGAUCAUUA
This 67-nucleotide ribosomal RNA is filed under the name Lactarius serifluus. RNAcentral describes it as "partial 18S ribosomal RNA". It matches the Rfam family "Eukaryotic small subunit ribosomal RNA". Lineage: Eukaryota; Fungi; Basidiomycota; Agaricomycetes; Russulales; Russulaceae. The record is from RNAcentral.